CCAAAAUCCGCCUGUCAUAUACCGAGGCUGCCGAUCGAGCGAGCUUGCUCGCGAAGUGAUUGAACGAGGUUCCAGGAAAAGCCACUAAGCUUCAGCUACACACGACCGUACCGCAAACCGACACUGGUGCGCGAGAUGAGUAUUCUAAGGCGCUUGAGAGAACUCGGGAGAAGGAACUCGGCAAAUUGACACCGUAACUUCGGAAGAAGGUGUGCCCUAUUAGUGUGAAGUGAACAACGGAGCAUGAAUGGGUUGCAAAAAAUCGGUGGCUGCGACUGUUUAUUAAAAACACAGCACUCUGCAAACACGAAAGUGGACGUAUAGGGUGUGACGCCUGCCCGGUGCUGGAAGAUUAAAUGAUGGGGUGCAAGCUCUUGAUUGAAGUCCCAGUAAACGGCGGCCGUAACUAUAACGGUCCUAAGGUAGCGAAAUUCCUUGUCGGGUAAGUUCCGACCUGCACGAAUGGCGUAACGAUGGCCACACUGUCUCCUCCCGAGACUCAGCGAAGUUGAAAUGUUUGUGAUGAUGCAAUCUCCCCGCGGAAAGACGGAAAGACCCCAUGAACCUUUACUGUAGCUUUGUAUUGGACUUUGAACAGAUCUGUGUAGGAUAGGUGGGAGGCUUUGAAGCAGGGUCGCUAGAUCUUGUGGAGCCAACGUUGAAAUACCACCCUGGUGUGUUUGAGGUUCUAACCUAGGUCCAUUAUCUGGAUCGGGGACAGUGCAUGGUAGGCAGUUUGACUGGGGCGGUCUCCUCCCAAAGCGUAACGGAGGAGUUCGAAGGUACGCUAGUUACGGUCGGACAUCGUGACGAUAGUGCAAUGGCAUAAGCGUGCUUAACUGCGAGACUGACAAGUCGAGCAGAUGCGAAAGCAGGACAUAGUGAUCCGGUGGUUCUGUAUGGAAGGGCCAUCGCUCAACGGAUAAAAGGUACUCUGGGGAUAACAGGCUGAUACCGCCCAAGAGUUCAUAUCGACGGCGGUGUUUGGCACCUCGAUGUCGGCUCAUCUCAUCCUGGGGCUGUAGCCGGUCCCAAGGGUAUGGCUGUUCGCCAUUUAAAGAGGUACGUGAGCUGGGUUUAAAACGUCGUGAGACAGUUUGGUCCCUAUCUUCCGUGGGCGCUGCAGAUUUGAGGAAGCCUGCUCCUAGUACGAGAGGACCGGAGUGGACGCACCUCUGGUGUAUCGGUUGUCACGCCAGUGGCAUUGCCGAGUAGCUAUGUGCGGAAGAGAUAACCGCUGAAAGCAUCUAAGCGGGAAACUCGUUCCAAGAUGAGAUCUGCCGGGGCCUUGAGCCCCCUAAAGAGUCGUUCAAGACCAGGACGUUGAUAGGUCGGGUGUGGAAGCGCAGUAAUGCGUUAAGCUAACCGAUACUAAUUGCUCGUGCGGCUUGACCCG
This 1396-nucleotide ribosomal RNA is filed under the name metagenome. RNAcentral's name for it is "bacterial LSU rRNA". It matches the Rfam family "Bacterial large subunit ribosomal RNA", at positions 1536 to 2925 of the family's 2925-position model. The record is from RNAcentral.